AGAAGGAGAACUGGCAGGUCUGCUUCCAGACUCUCACAUGGACAGUGGAUCUCUUGGGACAACUGGCUGAAAGUCUCUCUCUGUCUCUACUGUUACUCCUGGCUGUGUGUGAGUGGCUGAGUGGGUCGCUACUCUGCUGUGUCUCCAGAGUGAUUUAUCAGGUUUACAGGGAGGAGAGACAGAGGGAGAGAGAGGGAGACAACUCCGGUAGCAGGCAGGCAGCAGUUACCAGCCAGCUGGCUGGGUGUGUUAACUCCACAUCUGACCUCUAUGGGAACAGAGCAGCCUCAACUCCUCUCCUCCUGGCAGGCUGUGGGAACAACGGUGGACAGAUCUUCAUUUUUACCCCUGUCUCUGCCUCUGCCUCCUGUCGGGCUUGGGGAUCUGGCCAGAGCAGGACAUGACAUGACAGAACAGGACAGCUUUGGCAAGGGAGACCUCAACAGGGAGACCCAGGCUCUGAGGAUUGCACUGCCGACUGAUUCUUGGAUCUGAAGUGGCACAGUUGGCAGAGUCGGGUUGACAGUCAUGGCAGCAAUGCAGUUGUCUACUCAGUCAUUCGGCGAUCAGAUGGUUAGCCAGUCAGGCAGAAAAUCGGUCAGUGGGGUCCUUCCCAAAGGGCAACUCUUCCACUUUGUGCAUAUCCUCAUCUGAACUCUGAGGUGACUCAGACCUACCAAGUGGCAAAAGCGGACCUGUGGGCAUGGUCACAGGUGCUUCACAGCUGCUGUGGAAGGAAACAUAUGGAGCCCAGGAAGAUGCCGGAGAUACAGAGGGCAAGGAAGGGCAAGGAGGUGCGGACUGGAUCCAGCCUCUGCCCUGGCUGUGGUGGGGAGGGUUCCUGGCACCGUGAUUUGAUGCACAAAGAGAAACAAAAAUCACAUUGCCAGGGAUUUCCACUCCUUCACAGCUCAGCAGAUGACCCGGCUGCAUCAUUAUAUUUCCACCGUGGGAUGCUUUUGUGUAGUCUCCUUCACUGUUCUGUGUUUUUUUGUUCAGUUGAUAUCUGACACUGGAUGUUGCUAUGGAGUCAAAGAAAUAAAUAUUGGAGAGCUUAGA
Toxotes jaculatrix (banded archerfish) is the source of this 1059-nucleotide long non-coding RNA. RefSeq lists it as uncharacterized. The record is from RefSeq and is a predicted model, not a curated record. The transcript is spliced from 2 exons. NCBI's taxonomy places the organism in Eukaryota, Metazoa, Chordata, Actinopteri, Toxotidae.